UGCCUCAUAUGCAAUAUAUGCCACUUGUAAGGUGCUUGCCAACUUAAAUUGGCUAUAAGUAGCGUAACUUACAAAGCCAAGAUCUCUAAUUUCCUCCCCGUCCCUGCCACACCCAGAAGCUUACACAGUAGGAGGGGUUGGCAGGUUGAAUUUCUGGUCCUUCAUCCCAGUCAGCCAGUAGGUAGUCUCAUUUCCUCUUCCCUAGUAAGACAAAAGAGUUAUGUACCACGGAGGCCAACGAGUCGGUUCAGUUGUAGCCCACUCUUCCCACAAUAAUCUGUUUCUAAGACAUACUUCACUUCCGCAUUUCUUAUCAGUGCCAAUAUUUAAGUGCAUCACACAUUCCUGUUAUGAUUUGCAUUAUCUCUAGACAAAUCUUUAUUUCCAAGUGCCUUUUUAAAAAUGUUUCUCAUUCAGCAGACAUCUUUUUCUCAGAGUAGAGUUUUCUUUUUUUCCCCAAAAGACAUUUUAAAAUAUCACUCUAGCAACAUCACAAGAACUCUAACUUAAAAAGGAGGAAAAUUCAUCUGCAAUUCUGCUACAUCAACAAAUCCAACUGGUUCCCAUUGUCCAUAUUUUCUUCUAGUCCUUUUUGCAAUAAAGUUUUGCCGCAAAACUUUUGCUACAGUUUCCCUACCUUGUUAUACACACAUGUACAUCAUGAUUAAGUACUCAUUAAGUGACAUUUGUGGGCCCCAUCUGGAGUGUAUGGAAAUUUACUGGAAUACUGGAAACUCAGUUUUUGCUAAAGCUGGUAUUUGAAAAAGAAACUGGAGAUAUACAUGUGUAUAUCUUUUUCAGAAUACAUAUGAUUCAAACACAGCCAGUGAGCCACCAUUUUUAAAAGAUGAAUUUAAUAAUUCAUUGGUUGUGUUUGGACCAUAGUAAUCCAUAAAUGGCUUCUAUUUUGGGGUAAAUGUUCUUUGUAAAAAAUGUAUUUAAAAAAAUACAUUUUUUACAAAGAACAUUUAUGGAGAACUCAAAAUAACUCAAAAGUGAUGUUAGAACACUUUUACAUAAUGGACUUUUCCAAGGUGCAGUCAAAAUGUAAAGGCCAGAAGCAUGAUGGCUGCUGGAGACAGGUAACUUACAGUUAAUAGUUGGCUUUGCCAGUUGUGAAAAGAUUGUAAUAACUUUGGAAAAGCAACCUGAGAAGCAACUGGAGACAGCUGAUGGCUUUGGAGGGCAGCUAUUUCAAAUGUGAGGAACAUGAAGAAUCUAAAGUAGUGAUUCUCAAACAUUAGUGUGGUCACAAAAACAUUAUAUUGUUAAAAAUACAGAUUUCUGAUCUACACCCAUAGAGAAUCUUGCAUAGCAGGCCUGGUGGAGUGUCCAGACAUCUGCAUUUUAACAAGCAUCUAGAUGAUGCCAAGUCAGGAGGAGAAUGGGCCCACACCUUGUGAUUCACACCUUGUGAUUCCAGAGCUUCUAAAUAGUAAUGCAACUGGCAAGAGAGGUGACCUCAGAUCAUAGCGUUAUGUAGUAAGAUUAGGGAAGAACUGGCACUCAGUUCUCUUCAGGAUGGCUAUAGUGGAGCCACUUACGUGAAUUCUCAAGGCUGGAUAUGCAAAAUAGUUGCCCUCUGGUGGAAGACAGAGUCUUUUGUCUUCUGAGAAAAACCAUCCCCCUGCUUACGGAGGCCAGUGGAUUCCAUCCUAGAGGCUGUGUUGACUGUAUCUCCAAAUAGGCAGUAACGAGGCAUCUUGAUUCCCACGACUCCAGCAGCGCAGGGACCUGAAAUGAAGGACAGAAAGCAGGAAGUAGAGGCAAUAGAAAUUGCAGAGUAGAGUGAAAACAGGUAAGCUUCUUGGCACGGUCACAAUCCUGAAUACUUCCUGUAAUAGAGAAGUGGCUGAGGUUGUAAAAUGUGAACUGGGACUUUUGCUUUAAAUGGAUGAAUCCAAUGAAGCAUCAUUAUUGAAUGCAUGCGAUCAUAAAGUAUUUUGCUCUCGAAAAGAAAACAAUAUGUGUAGCAAACAGGAAGACAUCCGGAGUUCCAGAUCACAAAGGUGAUUUUAAAUAGAAGGCUCUCAGGAACGAUGAAGAUGAGCCCACUGCCUGCUUACUCUGCCAAACCACACGACCCUGAAUUUCACACUGAUGGGGAGCACUGUAGACUUGAAGCCUCAAUGGUUCAAGUUUGAUUUAUUUUUAUUUUAAGGUGGCAUUUCUGGGAUUGGUGGCAUGACAAUGGAAGACAGAAGACAAGACAAAGGCAUAACCUUCCUUAAGCAUUUCAUGAGCCAGGCGAAUGCAGCUGGAUGGGGAAGCCUGUGGCACAAGGAGGUUCUAGCAAGCCGAAGGCGAGACUAUGCACUGUGGUAUAUUAGGUAGGAAAGAAGGGUUAGUCAGUCAAGUAUCUGCAUAAAAUGACUGAAUGCAAGGAGUUACCACUUUAAGAAGUUAAAGAUUAACUCAGAAACUGCAAAGCUGGGUUUUAGGCAAUGCCUUGCAAAAGAUUAAUCUAGAUAACUUCUGAGUUCCUCUCCUACUAUGUUUUUCCAUAACACCUGUAACUCAUCUCAAAUCUUGAUGUUCAAGGCUACUGAAUUAAACUGUUUGGCCUGAGACAGCCUCUUAGGGGACCCUACACAACAAACUCCAACCUAGCUUGAUCUAUAAACAAACUAAGAGCCUAGCUCAGGUACUUACGUUACAAAUAGCUGAGUCUCAGCCAAUCACAGUAGCUGAGCUUCAGCCAAUCACAGGCUGCCAACUGAUUGGACCUUGACCAAAUCAGGGAAACAUGGAGCUCUGGCCAAUCAAGUUGUUUCUGUCUCUCACUCCUGUUUUCUGUCUAUAAACACUGCCUGCCCACCUUACCCAGGGAAGCUCUCUGAACCUCUUCUGGUUCUAAGGGCCAUCUGAUUUGAAAAUUGUUCAUUGCUCAAUUAAACUGUGUUAAAUUAUUUGGUAUGCAUAAAGCUUUUUUUUUAA
Molecule: long non-coding RNA, 2937 nt
Organism: Sapajus apella (tufted capuchin)
Lineage: Eukaryota; Metazoa; Chordata; Mammalia; Primates; Cebidae
Exons: 3
Source: RefSeq, a predicted model, not a curated record